CCUACGGGGGGCUGCAGUGAGGAAUAUUGGUCAACGGGCGGAAGCCUGAACCAGCCAUGCCGCGUGCAGGAAGACGGCCCUACGGGUUGUAAACUGCUUUUCCGGGGGAAGAAUAAGGCCCACGUGUGGGCCGAUGCCGGUACCCCGGGAAUAAGGAUCGGCUAACUCCGUGCCAGCAGCCGCGGUAAUACGGAGGAUCCGAGCGUUAUCCGGUUUUAAUGGGGCGAAGGGGUGCGUAGGCGGGCGCGUAGAAAUGCGGGGGCUGAACCUUCGAACGGCCGUUGAUACUGGGCGCCUUGGAUUCGGUCGAGGCGGGCGGAAUGCGACAUGUAGCGGUGAAAUGCUUAGAUAUGUCGCAGAACGCCGAUUGCGAAGGCAGCUCGCCGGGCCGAGAUUGACGCUGAGGCACGAAAGCGUGGGGAUCGAACAGGAUUAGAUACCCUGGUAGUC
RNAcentral lists this ribosomal RNA (450 nucleotides) under uncultured bacterium. RNAcentral's name for it is "partial 16S ribosomal RNA". It matches the Rfam family "Bacterial small subunit ribosomal RNA", at positions 338 to 795 of the family's 1533-position model. The record is from RNAcentral.